RNAcentral lists this unclassified non-coding RNA (344 nucleotides) under soil metagenome. Its description in RNAcentral is "partial contains 5.8S ribosomal RNA, internal transcribed spacer 2, and large subunit ribosomal RNA". The stretch from base 1 to 121 matches the Rfam family "5.8S ribosomal RNA", at positions 35 to 154 of the family's 154-position model. The record is from RNAcentral.
GAUGAAGGAACGCAGCGAAAUGCGAUAAGUAAUGUGAAUUGCAGAAUUCAGUGAAUCAUCGAAUCUUUGAACGCACAUUGCGCCCGCCAGCACUCUGGCGGGCAUGCCUGUCCGAGCGUCAUUUCAACCCUCGAGCCCCGCUCGGCGCUGGGGGACGGCCGCGCGCCGCCCCCGAAAUGCAGUGGCGACCCCGCCGCGUUCCUCCCCUGCGCAGUAGCUCUCCAGAGAAACCUCGCACCGGCGGCGCGGCGGCGGUCACGCCGUGAAACGCACAAGCCUUCCAGAGUUGACCUCGGAUCAGGUAGGGAUACCCGCUGAACUUAAGCAUAUCAAUAAGCGGAGGA